This 497-nucleotide ribosomal RNA is filed under the name uncultured bacterium. RNAcentral describes it as "partial 16S ribosomal RNA". It matches the Rfam family "Bacterial small subunit ribosomal RNA", at positions 28 to 507 of the family's 1533-position model. The record is from RNAcentral.
GACGAACGCUGGCGGCGUGCCUAAUACGUGCAAGUUGAGCGCUGAAGGUUGGUACUUGUACCAACUGGAUGAGCAGCGAACGGGUGAGUAACGCGUGGGGAAUCUGCCUUUGAGCGGGGGACAACAUUUGGAAACGAAUGCUAAUACCGCAUAAAAACUUUAAACACAAGUUUUAAGUUUGAAAGAUGCAAUUGCAUCACUCAAAGAUGAUCCCGCGUUGUAUUAGCUAGUUGGUGAGGUAAAGGCUCACCAAGGCGAUGAUACAUAGCCGACCUGAGAGGGUGAUCGGCCACAUUGGGACUGAGACACGGCCCAAACUCCUACGGGAGGCAGCAGUAGGGAAUCUUCGGCAAUGGACGAAAGUCUGACCGAGCAACGCCGCGUGAGUGAAGAAGGUUUUCGGAUCGUAAAACUCGGUUGGUAGAGAAGAACGUUGGUGAGAGUGGAAAGCUCAUCAAGUGACGGUAACUACCCAGAAAGGGACGGCUAACUACGUG